GCGCCUGUAGCUCAACGGUCAGAGCAGCGCCCUCAUAAGGCGUGGGUUGUGGGUUCGAAUCCCACCAGGCGCCCCC
RNAcentral lists this transfer RNA (76 nucleotides) under Bacillota bacterium. RNAcentral describes it as "Firmicutes bacterium tRNA-Met". It matches the Rfam family "tRNA". Rfam says of the family: Transfer RNA (tRNA) molecules are approximately 80 nucleotides in length. Their secondary structure includes four short double-helical elements and three loops (D, anti-codon, and T loops). Further hydrogen bonds mediate the characteristic L-shaped molecular structure. tRNAs have two regions of fundamental functional importance: the anti-codon, which is responsible for specific mRNA codon recognition, and the 3' end, to which the tRNAs corresponding amino acid is attached (by aminoacyl-tRNA synthetases). tRNAs cope with the degeneracy of the genetic code in two manners: having more than one tRNA (with a specific anti-codon) for a particular amino acid; and 'wobble' base-pairing, i.e. permitting non-standard base-pairing at the 3rd anti-codon position. Lineage: Bacteria; Bacillati; Bacillota. The record is from RNAcentral.